Otolemur garnettii (small-eared galago) is the source of this 105-nucleotide small nuclear RNA. Lineage: Eukaryota; Metazoa; Chordata; Mammalia; Primates; Galagidae. The record is from Ensembl.
GUGCUCGCGUCAGCCGCACAUAUACUAAAAUUGGAAUGAUACAGACAAGAUUAGCAUGGCCUCCACACAAGGAUGACAUGCAAAUUUGUGAAGUUCCAUAUUUUG